UCCCUUCCGGAAAGUCAACGUCUGAACAUCCCAUUUUGAUUGCUGGAAAGUUUCUCAAAUUCGGGCAUCCAGUGAGAUUGAGGUACUCGAGAGAUUCCAAGUUGAGAUCGGUUGGAAAACUCUCUAGCUUUUUGCAAUCACUCAUAUCUAAAUAGAUCAGUUUAGUGGCAUUCUGAAUCGAGGAAGGAAGUGUCACCAAAGAUUUGCAUCCAACAAGAUCUAAUUCCUCGAGGUUUAUGGCUAAAGAAAGAUCUGGAAUUUCUUUCAAAUUGUUGGAAUACCUCAAAUUCAUCUCCUUGAGACUUCCAAGGGGCUGAAAACAAAAUAUGGAAAAAGAGAAUACACACGUUCACAAAUAUACCACAGUUCUGUUCUAAAAACUGACAACUAAUAAAAUUUAGAAUUCGUACCAGAGUUCCUUCCCACAGUUUCUCAAGCUUACUAUACUUCAUUAUGAGGUUAACUAGAUAUUCCGCCUUAAAAGUAGAUGGCAAAGACUUCAAUGGACAAUCAUCCCAGUCUAGCAAUCUGAGUUUAAGGGGCAAAUAAACGAGGCUCUGAGGUAGAUCCCCGUAAUAACCAAUUUCUAGAUAUUGCAGAUUACGCAUGCCUUUGAACGAUUCUUUAUCUAUUAAUAACGGCCUUGUCGAAAAAUAUUCCUCGAAUGGCAAACGUAUUCCAAGAAGAGUUUCUGUCCCCUGAAAAAAAAUCCGAAGAAAACUAAUAUAAUCUUAACAAUCGCAACCCUUUUUAAUUUUCUGACACAUCAAAGCUACAUUUUAAUUACGCAUGAGGCAACAAUUGCUUAAGUUUAUCAAUCCCCAAAUUACGAUUAUAUUAAUAUAAAGUCAUGCAUUCAAACGGAGCUGCGAAAAAAACUUACAGUUUUCUCGGUCACUACUUCAUGAAUAUCUUCAAAAUUCGUCAGAAAUCGACGUUUUCCAGGAUUACCCUUGGACUUUGCACGAUCAAUUUCUCUACCCAAUUUCUCUAGCAAAUUGUGCAUCUCUAUAUAUCCAUCCGGUGUAAUACGUAUGAGGGACUUCUCAGUCAACAUUGUAAACCCAACAUUAUCUUUAAGUAAAUCUUUGACGUAACUGACUUCAAAACCAUUGAAUAAACACGCGAUGUAAAGGAACAUAUCUUGAUCUUUUUGAUGUAAUCUAUCGUAGCUGACUCUUAAUGUUUUCAUAAUAUCUCCGUUCAAACCAUUUCGGAGCCUAGGCAUCAUCUCCAUCCACCAUUCUUUGGUCCUUCCCUUUAAAGACGAACCAAGGACACUAAGACCCAACGGAAGAUUACCGGCAAGCUUCGCAACUUCAAAUGCUAGUUCCUUAAAAUCAUCAGGUGGAGAGUCUUUCCCAAAAGCAGAUCGGCAUAACAUCGUAAGAGCAAGAUGUUCAGAUGGGAACUCCACCUCAUAUAUAAGGUCAAUCUCAUGAGCCUUGAGAAGUUGCCUAUCUUGAGUGAUCACAAUUAUUCUGCUUCCAGAUCCAAACCAUUCAGCUUUUCCCACCAAGGUCUUAAGAAACUCUAGACUAUCCACAUCAUCAAGAAGGAUAAGAACUUUCUGUUGCUUUAACCUUUGCUCCACCACACCAAAAUGCUCUAUCUUUAUGUCCUUUUGACCUAAGAUUUCCGAGAGAAGUUCUUUUUCCCACCUCAACUUCAUGCCAGAGACGUCACUACCGCUGGUGCUUUUAUAUGUUAUGAAAGCGCGAUGGUGGAACUGGAUAGAGAGUUUACUGUAAAGAGCUCUUCCUAUGGUACUCUUACCAAUCCCUGAUUGUCCCCAAAUCCCGACCAUUAUUCUAGCUUCCUUGGAUUCCAAGCACAAUACUGAUUUUAUUGCCUCUAUAUGAUUUUCAAUUCCGACUAAGUCGCCAAAAUCAUCCGAUGGUGUCAUAGUUUUUCUCAAAACAUCCUCGGCAAGCUCUUCAAUCAUGGCUGCUUCACUAGGCCUAAUAACAAUAGUCAACUGUUUCAUUAAAGAAGCAACGCAAAACAAAAAAAUCACGAAGUCUAUUCAUUGAAAUACCAUUUCCGAAGAUCAUAUCCGGCCAUAACUGCAACAGCUGCUAGAGCUUGCUUCCAACUUUGUUUCUCAUCCUCUGAUUUAGCCUUGCAUGUCUCUUCAAAGACCUUUCCAAAUUCGCCGGUCUGUUUUUUAACUUCCGAAGCAUCAACGUGGAAGAAAAUCGGAAUCACCAUUUGAUUCAAAUUCGUAUAACACUUGUGAAUCUCCACCAAUUCAUUCAGGCACCAGGUGGAUGAAGCAUAGUUCUUAGAGAAGAUAACGAUUGCUAUUCUCGAUUCUUUUAUUGCCGAUAAAAGCUCCGGGCCGAUUGAGCGGCUCCUCUCGAUCUCAUCAUCUAUGAAUGUGAUUGCUUUGCCCCUGAGCUCCUUGAGAAGAUGGCUGAGGAAUGAGUCACGGACAUCUUCUCCACGAAAGCUUGGGAAAACGUCGUAUCUCCGGCUGCCAGAAGAAGAAGCUAUCUCCAUAUCAUCAUCUUUGGAUGUAUCCAUCAUUUCACGGUCGAGCUCGAGCUCCUUGACAAGAUGGCCACGAAACAAUUUGCCGAAAUUUUCUCCACUGAAGCUCGCGAAAACAUUGUAUAUCCAUCUGAGAACAUUGUAUAUCUAUCUGAAGCAAGAAGACGCCAUGGCAGAGGAUGAGAGAGAAGAGACGAAAUUUCUCAAAGGAAAACUCUUUGAAGUAUAUCAAUAAUACAACACAGUAACAGAGAGGAGAAACUUGGUCUUCCUUUCCUCGAAGACUUGUAUAGAAGACUUACUAUACAAGAUAUUGUUUUAGUGGUUAAAAUCAAAUCCCAUUACAAGACAAUUGGGACAAAUAAUACGUAAACUUGGUCUUCCUUUCUUAGAAGACUUGCAUAGAAGACUUACUGUACAAGAUAUUUUUUUAGUGGUUGAAAAAUCAAAUCCCUAACAAGAUAAGGCCAUAAUUAUGUGAUACAGAAACUUCCCCUUCCUUUCCUUGGAAAGCUUCUACUCUAUAACGAUAAGUCAAUUUUGUGGCUAUCAGUCGUCACUGAAUUUAUCUAUGAUGAUGAGACGUAGCCAUUCUACAAGAUUUCAAGAUAAUUUCUAGGCAAAAUAGACAGAAACUUCCUCGAGAGCUACUUUUCCUCUCCACAGAUAUUUUUGAAGACCCAAAAUUUUGUGGCUGUCAGUGGUUCAAGACAGAAACAAGAUUUCAAUUUAUUUUAACAAUGUUAAGGUUCACUAAUAUCAAAAGUCUGGUUUUCCUAUUCAUACUGUACAUACAUGCAUGGAAAUUAGGAGAAUAAUUAGUAUAUCGAUUAUGAGGAUUAUAAUUCAACUAAUAAUACAGUGAAAACACUAACAACAAACUAUCUAGUUUUCUAGAGCUGUGUGGUGUGGACAGUGGAGAGAAUAUUUUCAUGUAAAGUUUUCUUGUUUACAUUUACAAUUGUAAUAUUAGUUUAGAGUUUUGGCUUACUGUGUCAGCAACCACUGUAGGCUGCGAUUGCAUUUGCUGCCGUUUAAGGAGCAUUUGGUUUCUAAGGGUAGGUUUCAUGUACUGGAUGGAAGAAGUCGUGCUUGAGAGCAUCCUCUGCACUGAUUCGCCGUCUCGGGUUAACGGUCAAACAUCUAUCAACGAGGUCAAGGAGCGACCAUGGAAUUGCAUCUAGAAACUCCAUGCGUUUUGGGUUGAGUUCGUACCAUUUUCUCAACUCCAUCCCUUUCAAGUACCUUGACUUGUACAAUUCCUGAAACAACAACACAAAAAUCAACCUGAACUCAUCUCUCACGAUCAUCUAUCUAAUAAUUUUGUCGGUAAUUUACAUUUUUAAGAUAUAUAAUGUUUUGGAACACAAAAUGCUAACAAUGAAAACCCUUUUGUGAUAUUUGAAUCCAAAUGCUGGCGGCAAAGAAGAACAGAACAUGUAUGUUAUGUUCACACCAAUGCAGUAAUCAAAUGAAUGGAGAGUUUACAAGGGAUGAAAGAUGAGAUUUUACCUCAUGUAAAGAGGAUUCACGGUUGUGCAGCUUGGCUACUUCCCAUAAUUCUUCACUGCCUCGUAGUUGCGCAAUGUCCUUUAUGUUCCUGGGAAUGACAAGGUCGUUGUAAGACGGCAAGAAAGAAGAAAAAAGUGGAACCGAGUGAUGGUGUAUUCAGUCAAGUCAGAUCUUAACUGUUCAGGGUCACCAGUGAGAGCUUUCCUUCCCAUUAUGAGGUAUAACAAAGUAACUCCCGCAGAACACACGUCUUUUUUUAGGUCCUUGGUCCAAAGACCAUUCAGCCGAGAACAGCCCUAGAGAAUUAGCUUUUCCAUCCCAUCCUAGAUGUGUUAAUGAGUAGCUCAGGGAACAAGAUAUUUUCAUAUGGAUUUAACUAGUAUCAAGGGAAGUGAUAUAUCUGCAGGAAAAAUGGCUUGUGUCAAAACAUAUGAAAUCGUCUUGCCAUUAUCAUUAUAGUCAUGCUCGGUCCCAAGUUAUCCUAAAACAGAGGAAAACCGAAUAAUAAGAUGCUUCAGUUACCAGAACCAGAAUUCAAGAUAGGAAUUUCUUCAUCUUGUUGUUCACUUAUCAUGGAAUCAACACACAAAGAUUCCCCCUCCAGAGAUGGAUAAGAAGAAACUGAUGAUGCUUCUCCCUGCCCUAACGAAAGCUCCAUAUUUAGAGCGGUCAAGCUUGUGUCCGCUACAAUUUGGACACAGGGUAAGUUGAUAUAUUCUUCAGAUGUUCCCGAUGUCAUCUGCAUCGUAAACCAAAGGAUCGAUUCUGUUAAAUAGUCUGUCACUAAGGUAUUGAUCCUGGAAAAUAUAAUAAAACAUCAAGAGAUAGCUUUGCAAUUUUCAGUUCUAAUUAUGUCAAAAGGCUUACCCGCAUCCGCUUAUUGCUUCUCGCAGUCUCUACAACAUCACAUUUUUCUCGAGACUGUUGGCUGUACUCUGUUUCAGAGCUUCCAUCACUAUCAUCUGGAAAUGGAGACACAUUCAAGAGUCGUAUACCACAUUCUUUUAUCCUCUUGGAGCAAGAAAAGUUAAACUCCACAUCGUUGAAAGUCAAUUUAGAUGGAAGAUCUUCAGGCUGGAAGUUGAAGGAACAGAAAACCAGAUGAUCCGUCUUACACAACCGCAGGUCUGCAUCUUUAAAAAAUGAUUUGCAAUACAGUGUCCCAUUGAAGCCAGCAUUUACCUCACAAUAUGGACCCCAACUCUUGCCCUCAGUUAGAAGGUCAACCACGAUGCAAGCCUUAAAGCAAGAAUACUUGAGAAAGAGAGCUCUAAGGUAAAGUGACAGUUAGGGAAUCUCCAUAAGCUCGAUGUUGAAAAUACGUUGGCACUUCUCCACCUGGUAAGGACAUAGGCUUGAACAAUGACCGUAAGAUGAGUUCUCGCGCAUCUCCAUCCAAUUUGCAGCAGUUCUGGAAGAGAUAAUGAAAGGCCCCGAUCCGGACUACCUAAGUCCGGACGAGAUCUCUCGACCCAAGUCACUAAGUGACUCGACCCAAGUCACUAAGUGACUCGACCCUAACCAUUUAUGAGGUUCAUUCCCUAGUGUAAUCCGUUUCAUACAAUUCUGUGAUUCAAUAUAUGAGACGAAUAGAGUAAACAAACAAUCGGAUACUUUAUUAAUUAAGUAAAGGAUUCGAUACAACUUAUGAGUUUGCAUAUAAGCUAUUACAAGUAAUUUAAUCGAUCCCUAGACUAUCCGAAACUAUCACCACCCAUCAUUCCGGCCUUGAGUCUCUCGCGCCUAAGCCAAGUCCUUCCCACUAUCACCAUUGGUUCCUGAAAGUCAUAGAGCCAUAAGUAAUUUCAUUUACUUAGUCAUAUGCAAGUCCAUGCAAUGCUCCAUAGUCCUUACACUACUCGGAUCCGCGGAGAGGAUUCGGAGAAGGGAAGAUCGCGCAUAAGUCCGGCCGAUUCUCGGUAGGUCAAUUAAGACCCGCCGGUCCUCCGCCGAGCCGCGUCUCCGCCCCAGCCGAUCCCUUGCCCGGACCGAGGCUUGUGUAGGUUGCACAUGACCCGAUUCUACCCAGCCCAUUAGUCGUUCCUUUCAAGGAAUCCCGACUCAUUUAACGCAUUCUAGAAUCCUUAGACUCGAGGUCUAGGAUUCCUUACCUUCCUUCACGAUGUUCGGUCGAUCCGACCCUUCUUCUUCCUUGCCGGCCACAGUCCGCCUACCGAUUUCCUCCGAUGAUUUAUUCUCCCGAAAGGGAGAGAGUUUAAUGGUGAGUUUCCGGUAUUUUCCGUGUGUUCUGCUGCCUCUAAAGGUCUUGGGCGCCCUCCCUUAUAUAAGGAGCGAAUUGAUGCUUCCCGAAGGAUCACCUCCGUUCCUUGCACCUUUCCGAAGAGUUGCAUCUCUCGGUCCGUAACUGCUCGCCCUUAUCCACCCUUUGGGCGAGCACCCGUUCGACCGUAACCGCCCAAGUAACCGUCCGGGUAACCGCCCAGCUGGUCAGACAGUCGACCAGCUGCCUCGAGCUCAACCGUCACUCGCCCAGCUGCUCGAGCUGGACUGUCACUCAACCCGAGUAACCGUCACUCCUUCCAGCUGAGCUUGAGCUUCGGACGAGCUGACCCAGCUGAUUCCUUUACGAUCCUAGCUUAGCCCGCAUGAUUUCCCUUUGUCCGAGCUUAUGGCCAACUCCUUCCCACUUGUCCGAGACUCCACCUUCUUUUCUCGGACCAAGUCCCAGCCAACGAUCCUAUUGAGGAUCGCGGGCGUUACAAGUCUCCCCUUUGAAUUGGAUUCGACAAAUCGAAUCCAAGUUGAUCUUUACCCAUCUCCUUGAACCACUCCGGAAAAUUGGCCUUCAUCUUAGUCUCGGUUUCCCAAGUGUAUUCUUCACGGCCUCCACAAUUCCACAAGAUUUUUAACAAAUCCAUUGAUUUCCCCCGAGUCCCUUUCUUCAUUUGGUCCAUGAUCCGUACCGGCCAUGCUUCCACCGUCAUGUUCUCCUUUAACCCAGGAGGUACAUCUUCCAUGCUUUCUUCUUGUUCACUUAAGCACUUCCGUAGUUGUGAUACAUGAAAGACAUUGUGAAACGCGUCUAGUUUUGGAGGAAGGUCAAGUUUGUAUGCCACCGCCCCUACUCGUUCGAUCACUUUGUACGGGCCAACGUACCUUGGCCUUAACUUUUUCCUUGAUGUGAAUCGCCCUGCCCCUUUGUAGGUCAUCGCCUUUAAAUACACCAAGUCUCCCACUUGGAAUUCUAAUUCCUUUCGACGCUUGUUGGCGUAACUUUUCUGACGAUCUUGGGCUUCCUUUAACUUGAUUUUUAAGAACUUCAUUUUCUUCGUGGUUUCAUCCACGACCGCAGGUCCGAACAACCGACGUUCGCCCACUGGCGUCCAACACAACGGUGUUCUACCAGCUCGGCCAUACAACGCCUCAUAGGGAGACAUACCAAUACUAGCUUGAAAACUGUUAUUGUACGCAAAUUCUACUAACCUUAGAUAUUUCUCCCAGUUUCCUCCCCAAUCCAAGACGCAUGCCCUCAACAUGUCCUCGAGGGUUUGAAUCGUUCGUUCGGACUGUCCGUCCGUCUGUGGGUGAUAUGCAGUACUUAGAUUCACUCGAGUCCCUAAGACCUUUUGAAAAGGCUUCCAAAAUUUUGACGUGAACCUUGUGUCUCGGUCCGACACUAUACUAACCGGAAUCCCAUGUAAUCGCACGAUCUCGUCUAUGUACUUCUCGGCAAUGAUUUCGGCUGCAUCCUUAUCCGAGAUUGCCAUGAAGUGCGCAGACUUAGUCAAUCGGUCUACUACAACCCAUACCGCAUUGUGUUUGGACUUGAUCCCCGUCGGCAGUCCCGUGACGAAGUCCAUCAUUAUAUGGUCCCACUUCCAUUCCGGUAUAGGUAGGUUUUGUAACAUUCCACUUGGUACUUGAUGCUCUUCCUUGGCUACCCACCUGGCCACAUCUUUCUUCAUUCCUACCCAAUGGUAGUAUCUUUUAAGGUCGCGAUACAUCUUGUUCGACCCAGGAUGGAUCGAGAACUUCGAUUGAUGCGCUUCUUUUAGGAUUUCCUCCUUCAACGCCUUAUCGUUCGGCCCACAUACUCGACCGUUCACCACGAUAGUACCAUUGUUCGAGCUUUGGUACUCGGUUUUAUUGUUUUGUGCCCACCCUUUUAUUUCUUCAUCUCGUUCUUGAGCCGACCGGAUCCUACUAAGUAGGUCGGCUUGAUUGGCGGCUCUCAACCCUAAGGGUUCAACUUCCUUAGACAAAGCAUUCAAAUGCAAUGUCCCCAUCAUGUUAACCAAAUUCACUUGGUUCCUUUCCGCUUCCACUACCGUGCGCAGCCUGCUCAAAGCAUCUACAACUUGGUUGGCCUUGCCCGGAUGGUACGCUAUGUUCAAGUCGUAAUCCGCCACAAGUUUUAUCCACCUUCUUUGCCUUAGAUUUAACUCCGGCUGGGUGAAUAUGUAUUUUAGGCUCUUGUGGUCAGUAAAGAUUUGAACCUUGGCACCAUACAAAUAUGAUCGCCAAAUCUUCAACGCAAAUACUACCGCGGCCAUUUCCAAAUCAUUCGUAGGGUAGUUCUUCUCGUGUUUCCGCAAUUGCCUCGAGGCGUAUGCGAUAACACUCCCCUUUUGGAUCAAUACGCAUCCUAGUCCUACUAUGGAUGCGUCCGUGUAGACCGUAUAGGGCUCACCUUCCUCCGGUAAGACCAACACCGGUGCAUUAGUCAACAUGGCCUUUAACUCCAGGAAGCUUCUCUCGCAUUCCUCCGACCAGUUGAAUGCGGUGUCUUUUCCGGUCAAUUGAGUCAUGGGUUGGGCCAUGCUCGCAAAUCUCUCGACCCAAGUCACUAAGUGAAUGGACCCUAACCAUUUAUGAGGUUCAUUCCCUAGUGUAAUCCGUUUCAUACGAUUCUGUGAUUCAAUAUAUGAGACGAAUAGAGUAAACAAACAAUCAGAUACUUUAUUAAUUAAGUAAAGGAUUCGAUACAACUUAUGAGUUUGCAUAUAAGCUAUUACAAGUAAUAUAAUUGAUCCCUAGACUAUCCGAAACUAUCACCACCCAUCAUCCCGGCCUUGAGUCUCUCGCGCCUAAGCCAAGUCCUUCCCACGAUCACCAUUGGUUCCUGAAAGUCAUAGAGCCAUAAGUAAUCUCAUUUACUUAGUCAUAUGCAAGUCCAUGCAAUGCUCCAUAGUCCUUACACUACUCGGAUCCGCGGAGAGGAUUUGGAGAGGGGAAGAUCGCGCAUAAGUCCAGCCGAUUCUCGGUAGGUCAAUUAAGACCCUCCGGUCCUCCACCGAGCCGCGUCCCCGCCCUAGCCGAUCCCUUGCCCGGACUGAGUCUUGUGUAGGUUGCACAUGACCCGAUUCUACCCAGCCCAUUAGUCGUUCCUUUCAAGGAAUCUCGACUCAAUUAACGUAUUCUAGAAUCCUUAGACUCGAGGUCUAGGUUUCCCUUACCUUCCUUCACGAUGUUCGGUCGAUCCGACCCUUCUUCUUCCUUGCCGGUCACAGUCCGACUACCGAUUUCCUCCGACGAUUUAUUCUCCCGAAAGGACGAGAGUUUAAUAGUGAGUUUCCGGUAUUUUCUGUGUGUUCUGGUGCCUCUAAAGGUCUUGGGCACCCUCCCUUAUAUAAGGGGCGAAUUGAUGCUUCCCGAAGGAUCACCUCCGUUCCUUGCACCUUUCCGAAGAGUUGCAUCUCUCGGUCCGUAACUGCUCGCCCUUAUCCACCCUUUGGGCGAGCACCCGUUCGACCGUAACCGCCCAAGUAACCGUCCGGGUAACCGCCCAGCUGGUCAGACAGUCGACCAGCUGCCUCGAGCUCAACCGUCACUCGCCCAGCUGCUCGAGGUGGACUGUCACUCAACCCGAGUAACCGUCACCCCUUCCAGCUGAGCUUGAGCUUCGGACGAGCUGACCCAGCUGAUUCCUUUACGAUCCUAGCUUAGCCCGCAUGAUUUCCCUUUGUCCGAGCUUAUGGCCAACUCCUUCCCACUUGUCCGAGACUCCACCUUCUUUUCUCAGACCAAGUCCCAGCCAACAAUCCUAUUGAGGAUCGCGGGCGUUACAGAUAACCUGCCCUACAGGCCAAAUGUUUGUGGUUAAGGUUUUCCCAGAAACGAUGACGAGUAUACUCAAUGUUUUCAUAUAAUGGUAUAUAAGAAGAGUGAUCUUCCACACUGGCAUCACUCAUCGCCACGUUGACACCUCUACAUUCUGUAAAGUCGACGAGCUUAAGAAUUGUCAGUCUGAAAAUGUUUGGCGAGAUGUUUUUCAACCUCUUGCAACAAUACAUCAUAAGUACAGUGAGCCACGAGAAAUUUUCAAUGCAGCAGGGAACUUCUUCAAUAGCGGUGUUUUCCAGAUAGAGCCAUUUGAUACUCUUUGAAAUCAGAGGAAAAGUUCUCAAACUUGAGCAACCACUCAGAUCAAGCAUUUUAAGAGAUGACAAGUUGACAUCGGUUGGAAGAACCUCCAGCCCUGUGCAUUCUUUCAUUUCCAACCUCACCAAUUUUUGGAGAUUCCCAAUUGUAGAAGGAACUGUCACCAAACUUUUGCAAUUAGAGAGAUAUAAAUUCACCAGAUUAGUGGCCUUUGAAAGAUCUGGAAUUUCUGUCAGGUUUCCACAUUCUGACAUAUCCAUCUCCACGAGACUUGCAAGCGACUGAAACAGAAAUUAAAAAAAAAAAUUGUUAUGCUUCAAUCACUUUCAUUUUAAUUUAAUAACUAUACACAUUUAAACAAAAUUAUAAUCAAGACAUAAUUCUGUAUGUAAAUAUAAACCGUGGAAUCACAAGCCAUUUUGACAACUUUAAUUUGGUUAUACGUAAUUAUUUACAACAGAGGUUAAACAAAAAUCAGCAAAUGCUAUAAUAUUAACAAUGUACCUGGACGCCUUCCCAUAGCUUCUCAAGCAUUUGGUUGCCUCUCACUAUGAGACGAACCAGAUCAUUUGGGCGAAAUUCACAUGGCAUACAUCUCACAAGGCAGGCGAGAUAAUCAAGACCAGGGAGAUUCUUGUUCCAUAUACAAUUUUCUACGCGGAUCUCAAUUCCAUGUGGCGAAGUAGUUGAAGUUUCCAUUUUAAACACAGGGAAAUUUUUCUCAAAUUAUCGUAAUAAAGGAGACCGAGGUACUCAAGAGAUUCCAAGUUGAGAUGAGUUGGAAAACUCUCUAGCUUUGUGCAACCCCUCAUAUCUAAAUAGAUCAGUUUAAUGGCAUUCUGAAUCGAGGAAGAAAGUGUCACCAAAGAUCUGCAUUCCGAAAGAUUUAAUUCCUCGAGGUUUCUGGCAUUAGAAAGAUCUGAAAUUUCUCUCAAAUAUCUGGAACCAUGCAUAUUCAUCCUCUUGAGGCUUCCAAGUGGCUGAAAACAAAAUAGGGAAAAACAUAAUACACACAUUCAUAAACAUUUCAAAUAGAUUAAUUUUUACCACAGGUCUGUUCUAAAAAUUGACAACUAUUUCAAUGAAGAAUUAAGUACCACAGUUCCUUCCCACAGCUUCUCAAGCUUACUUCCCAUCAUUGUGAGUUGAAUGAGGUAAUCCGCCUUAAAACUAUAAGGCAAACAUUUCAAUGGACACCUAUCCCAGUCUAGCAAUCUGAGUUUAGGGGGCAAAUAAACGAGGCUCUGAGGUAGAUCCAUAUAAUCCCCAGUAACUGAUAGACAUUGGAGAUUACGCAUGCCUUGGAACGAUUUUUCAUCUAUUGGUAAUAGCUCUUUUGAUCGGAAAGCUGUGCAGAAACGUAUUCCAAGAACUGUUUCUGUCCCCUGAAAAAAAUACGAAGUAAACUAGUAUAAUGAUAUAAUCUUUACAAUGGCAACCGUUUUUAUUUUUCUGAGACAUCAAAAGAGCUAGCCACGUUUUAAUUAAGCAGGAGAGGCAACAAUUGUUAAAGUUUAUCAAUCCCCAAAUGACGAUUAAAUUAAUAUAAAGUCAUGCAUUAAAAGGCAUCUGCUAAAAACUUACAGUUUUCUCUGUCAAUACUUCUCAGAGUAUCCUCAAAAUCCGUUAGAAAUCGACGUUUUCCAGGAUUACCCUUGGACUUUGCACGAUCAAUUUCUAUACCCAAUUUCUCUAGCAAAUUGUGCAUCUCUAUAUCUCCAUCCGGUGUAAUACGUAUGAGGGACUUCUCAACCAACAUUGUAACCCCAACAUUAUCUUCAAGUAAAUCGUUGACGUAACUGACUUCAAAACCAUUGAAUAAACACGCGAUGUAAAGGAACAUAUCUUGAUCUUUUUGAUGUAAUCUAUCGUAGCUGACUCUUAAUGUUUUCAUAAUAUCUCCGUUCAAACCAUUUCGGAACCUAGGCAUCAUCUCCAUCCACUCUUCUUUGGUCCUUCGUUUUAAAGACGAACCAAGGACACUGAGACCCAAAGGAAGAUUACCGGCAAGCACUGCAACUUCAAAUGCUAGUGCCUUAAAAUCAUCAGGUGGAGAGUUUUCCCCAAAAGCAGAUCGGCAUAACAUCUUAAGAGCAAGAUCUAGAGAUGGGAACUUCACCUCAUAUAAAAGGUCAAUAUCAUGAGCCUUAAGAAGUUGCAUAUCUUGAGUGAUCACAAUAAUUCUGCUUCCAGGUCCAAACCAUUUAGUUUCCCCCACCAAGGUCUUAAGAAACUCUGGAUCAUCCACAUCAUCAAGAACGAUAAGAACUUUCUUCUGAUUUAACAUUUGCUCCACUACACCUAACUUCCCUCCUAUCUUUAUAUCCUUACCAAGAAUUUUUGACAGAAAUAUUUCUUCCCAUUCAGACUUCAUGCUAUAGACGUGAGGUACGAAAGCGUGAAAGUGGAAUUGGCAAAAGAGUUGACUGUAUAGAGCUUUUCCUAUGGUACUCUUACCAAUCCCUGAAGGCCCCCAAAUCCCAACCAUUCUAGCUUCCUUGGAUUCCAAGCACAAUAUUGAAUUCAUUGCCUCUAAAUGAGCUUCAAUUCCGACGAAAUCGCCAAAAGAAUUCGAUGGUGAAAUAAGCUUAUUCGAAACAUCAUUAGCUAUCUUUACAACCAUGGCUGCUUCACUAGGCCUAAUAACAGUAGUCAAAUUGUGUCAAUAAAGAGGCACCCCUAAAGCACACAAUCCAAAAAAAGAAGAAGCAGAUAGCAUAGUUCAGAGAUAAUUAAAAACACACUCAGAGAUAAUGAAAUCAAAAACAAAGUACCCGUUUCGAAGAUCUUCUCCGGCUAUAUUUGUUAUGUCUACUAGAGCUUGCAUCCAUCUUUGUUUCUGAUCCUCUUCUUUGUCCUCGCAUGUCUUUUUAAAAACAUCGCCAAAUUCGCCGGUCUGUUUUCUAACUUCCGAAGGAUCAACGUCGUAAAAAACUGAAAUCACCAAUUGACCCCAAUCAUUUAAGCGAUUGUGGAUCUCAACCAAUUCAUCCAAGCACCAAGUGGAAGAAGCAUAGUUCUUAGAGAAGAUCACGAUUGAGAUCCUUGCUUCUCUAAUCGCUGAUAUUAGCUCAGGGGCUAUUGUACGGCUUCGUUCGAUGCCAUGAUCCAUGAAUGUAUUGAUUGAUCUGCGGUCGAACGCCUCGAGUAGAUUGCUGAGGAACGUCUUGCGAACAUCUACCCCACUGAAGCUUGGGAAAACAUCGUAUCUCCGGCUGCAAGAAGAAGAAGCCGCCGCCAUGGAAUAUGAUGAGGAGAAGAUAAGUACAGUAAAUCGAAUACACAGUGAUUAUUGAUUAGAGUGAUUACUGUGAGGCCGGUCCUUAAGGGUGGGAUGCGCAAGGAAACUUCUUAUUUUUUGCCCAUAGGCCAUAAAUAUAAAAAUGUAGCGAAAUGUUUGUAAUGAGGUUCGAACCAAGGCCAAUGAAGCAUUUAAAACCUGAUUUCAAGUAUUCAACCGCUCAACUACAAGUUAUGAUGCCUCUUAAAUCAAUAUUAGAUUUAUUUUGGUGUCCAAGGUCUUUGCUUAUUGUAAAAAGGACAGCUUAUCGUAAACAUGUUGAGUGGGGAAUUCAGUCUUUGUUUCCCUAUACUUACAUGCAUAGAAACUAGGAGAAUUUGUAAGUAUAUCAAUUAUGAGGAUUUUAAUUCACAUAAUAAUAUAGUGAAAACAUUAACUAUCUAGUUUGUUAAAAAAAAAACUCUUUUAGCUUUCUAGAGUUGUGUGGUGUGGUGUGGAUGGACAGUGGAGUGAAGAUUUCUAGAAACUCUCUGCGUUUUGUGUUGAGUUCUCCUCAUUUUCUCAACUCCAUCCCCUUCAAGUACCUUGACACGUACAAUUCCUGAAACAACAACACAAAAAUCUAUGUGAAUUCAGCUCUCACGAUCAUCUAUCAAAUCACUUUAUCAGUAAUUUACAUUUUAAAGUUAUAUCAUGUUCUGGACUAACAAUGAAAACCAUUUUAUGUGAUAUUUGAAUCCAUAUGCUGGUGGCAAAGAAGAACAGAGCAUUUGUAUUAUGUCACACAAAUUCAGCAAUCAAGUGAAUGGAGAGUUUAUAAGGGAUGUAAGAUGAGAUUUUACCUCAGGCAAAGAGGUUUCACGAUUGCAGCUUGGCUACUUCCCAUAAGUCUUCACUGCCUCGUAGUUACUCAAUGUCCUUUAUGUUCCUAGGAAUCACAAGGUCGUUGUAAGACGGCAAGAACGAAAAAAGAGUGGAAUCGACUGAUGGUGUAUUAUAUUUUUAUUUAUUAUUAUUAGGUCAUUGGUGCAAAUAUCUGAAGCAAACCUGCACAAACCAAUUCAGCUAAAAUAAGCACCAGAGAAAUUAGCUUUCACAUCCUAAAUGUGACAAUGACUAGCUCACUUGACCUCAGGGUCGUGAUUGAGUUUGGUGGUUGUGGCCGGUGAGUAGGACGGGUGGAAGCUGGUUUUGUAUGUAUGGGGCAGUGGUGGUGCUGAGUUAUGUUGUAAUCACUGUUUUUUACUGUGAGUGUAGGAAACGCCAUGGUAGCAGUGAUGCAUUUAAUGCUGAUGAGGUUGCUAUUUAAAAAUUUAGUUCCAACACUUUUUUGUUGUUGAUAAUUCUCUUGUGAAAUACAUUUUUCUUUACCGAAUUUAUUCAUUGAUUUAAAGAGAGAAAAAUAACCUUUGGUAACAUACACGUAGAGAGAUAUGUGUGUUUCAAAAGACAAGACUGUUAUAUUUACAUCUUUUCAGGAAAGCGAAUUUUUCAAAGAAGCAAAACAGAGAGAAGUAAGAACAGAGUGGUUCUGCUGUUCUGGACAUGGAACCAUAAAAGUUUUCUAGUUGUCAGUGCUCCAUCAUCUGCAGGAGAAAAUGGCUUGUGUGAAAAACUAAGAAAUCGUCUUGUCAUUACCAGUAUAGUCAUGGUCGAUCCCAUGUUCAUUAUAAAACAGAGUUGUAAUACGUUUCAGGUUACCUUAACAAUGUGAUAAGCUGUAGAGACGGCUAAGGAUCCAGGAAAGGAAUCUUAACAAUGUGAUGGUGUGAAUUCAGUCAAGGCAGAUCUUAACUGUUCAGGGUCAGCAGUGAAAGGUGUCGUCCCCAUCAGACCAUACGUUUUAUUUAGGCCCUUGAUGCAAAGAUCUGAAGCAAACCAAUUCAGUCAAGAACAGCCCCAGAGAAUGAGCUUCCCAUCCUAGAUGUUCUAGUGAGUAGUUCAGGCCUACAACUUUCACUCUUCUCGAUAUAAUUAAAGAGUGCAGCGGCAUAGGGGAACAGCAGCGACAUAUUUUCUCAUCGACGUAGGAUAGCUGGAUGAUACUUCAUGGUUUGGAAGUGGACCAGACAAUGUCUCCUGUAGAAAGUUUAAAAGCUCUUUCCUUCACCCGAAGGAUUGUUCCUUAUGCUGGUUACAUCUUUGGCCGAAGUUAGGCCAAAAACGCUUCUGCCUUUUGGCUAUUGAAUCAGCGGAUAUGCAAAUGUUGCUGAUUCUUGUUGUUUUCUGUACCCAAAGUCUGAUUUAUUCAUUGCUAAUAAAGAGAAAAACAACCUUUACUAACAUAAACAUUGAGAUCUAUGUUUUAAAAAGGCAAGACUAUUUUGGGUAGUACCUGCACUCAAGCAGGUACGCUCCCAAAUUCAAUGUCUUUCUUAAAAAUAGAAUAUGUUUUUACAAAACAAAACAAUGCCAAAGAUGUUUUUCCAGAAUAUGCUAAAGUAUGGCUUUCUGAAACAUUUAUUCUUUCAGGAAAAGUGAAAUGUUCAAAACAAACGCAGAGCUGGAUAAUGUAACGGACUUUGGUUCUCCUAAAGAUCUUCAUCAUCUGCAGUUAAUUAUCAUUAUCAUUAUAGUCAUAGUCGAUCCCAAGUUAUCCUAAAACAGAGUAAAACAGAAUGAUAAGAUGCUUCAGUUACCAGAAUCAGUAGACAAGAUAGGAAUUUCUUCAUCUUGUUCUUCAGUUAUCAUGUAAUCAACACACAAAGCUUCCCCCUCUAGAGAUGUUGAUGAUGAUGCUUCUCCCUGCCCUAACGAAAGCUCCAUAUUUAGAGCGGCCAAUCCUGAGUCCGCUACAAUUUGGCCAUAGGGUAAGUUGAUAUAUUCUUCAGAUGUCCCCGAUGUCAUCUGCAUUAUAAAUCAAACGAUCGAUUCUAUUAAAUAGUCUGUCCCUAUGGUGUUUCGAUCCUGAAAAAUCAAACCAAAAGUCAAAAGAUAGCUUUAUAAUUUUCAGCUCUAAUCAAAAGUCAAAAGAUACCCCCAUCCGCUUCUCGCUUCUCGUAGUCUGUUGGUUGUACUCUGUUUCUUGAUAGACAUACAAGAGUCGUACACCGCAUUCUUUGAUCCUAUUGGAGCAACAAAAUUUAAACUCCAUUCAGACCAGAUCUUGAAGGAACAGAAAAACAGAUGAUCCGUCUUACAAAACUGCAGGUCUGCAUCUUCAAAAAAUGAUUUCUGAUACUGUUUGCCAUUGAAGCCAACAUUUACCUUCAAGGAUGGAUAAAAACCCUUGCCCUCGGAGGGAGGUUCAACCACGACGCAAGCCUUAAAUGGAAAGAAGUAUUGAGAAAGAGAGCUCUGAGGUAAAGUGACAGUUAGGGAAUCUCCAUAAGCUCGAUACGUGAAAUACUUAGGGAUUUCUCCACCUGGUAAGGCCACAUGCUUGAAGCAUGAUCGUAGGAUAAGUUCUCGCGCAUCUCUUUCCAAUUUGAAGCAAUUGCAGAAGCUAAAGGAUUCCCUACGUAAGCGCCAAUCUACGACGUAGUUCUUAUAAUCAUCAUCAUACAACGCAUCCCAGAAACGUUCACAUGUAUAUUCAAUGUUUUCAGAUAAUGGUACACAAGAAACGUGAUCUUCCAUUGUCGCUACCACAGUUGCAUCACUCAACGCCUUGAUGACACCUCUACAGUCUGUAAAGUCGGCGAACAUUAGACUUCUCAGUCUGAAAAUGUUUGGGGAGAUGUUUUUCAACCUCUGGCAACAAUACAUCAGUAGUACACGGAGCCUCGUGAAAUCCUCAAUGCAGCAGGGAACUUCUCCAAUGGCGGUGUUUUCCAGAUAGAGCCAUACAAUAUUAGUUGAAAUCAGAGGAAAAGUUCUCAAACUUGAGCAACCACUGAGAUCGAGGAUACCCAGAGAUGACAAGUUGACAUCGGUUGGAAGAACCUCCAGCCCUGUGCAUCUUUUCAUGUACAAACGUCUCAAAUUUUGAAGAUUCCCAAUUGUAGAAGGAAGUGUCACCAAACUUUUGCAGUUGUUGAGUAUCAAAGACUCGAGCUUGGUGGCCUUUGAAAGAUCUAGAAUUUCUUCAAUGGCGGUGUUUUCCAGAUAGAGCCAUUUGAUACUCUUUGAAAUCAGAGGAAAAGUUCUCAAACUUGAGCAACCACUGAGAUCGAGGGUUUCGAGAGAUGACAAGUUGACAUCGGUUGGAAGAACCUCCAGCCCUGUGCAUUCUUUCAUUUCCAACCUCACCAAUUUUUGGAGAUUCCCAAUAGUAGAAGGAAGUGUCACCAAACUUUUGCAGUUGUUGAGAUAUAAAUGCUUCAGAUUGGUGGCCUUUGAAAGAUCUGGAAUUUCUGUCAGGUUUUCAGAUUCUGACAGAUCCAUCUCUUCGAGACUUCCAAGCGACUGAAAAAAACAUUAUCGAUGAUAAUCAUUUUAAUUUUAUACCUAUAUAUGUUUAAAAUUAUAAUUAAACAUUAUUACGUAUGUAUGUAAGACAUAACCGUGGAUCGACCACAAGCCAUAAAAACAAAUUUGGGUAUACUUAAUUAGUUAUAUAACAGAAGGUAAACAAAAAUCAGCAUAGCAUUAACAAUGUACCUGGAUGCCUUCCCAUAGCUUCUCAUGCUUGUAGCACCUCACAUUGAGAAAAACGAGAUAUUCUGGGCGAAAUUCACAAGGCAUACAUCUCAUAAGGCAGUCGAGAUAAUCUAGUCCAGCAGGGAGAUUCUUGUUCCAGAAACAAUCUUCUACCACGAUCUCAUUUCUCCCUUCCGGAAAGUCAACGUCUGAACAUCCCAUUUUGAUUGCUGGGAAAUUUCUCAAAUUCGGGCAUCCAGUGAGAUUGAGGUACUCGAGAGAUUCCAAGUUGAGAUCGGUUGGAAAACUCUCUAGCUUUUUGCAAUCACUAAUAUCUAAAUAGAUAAGUUUAAUGGCAUUCUGCAUCGAGGAAGGAAAUGUCACCAAGGAUUCGCAUUUACAAAUAUCUACUUCCUCGAGGUUUAUGGCUAAAGAAAGAUCUGGAAUCUCUUUCAAAUAUUUGGAACCACGCAGAAACAUCUGCUUGAGUCUUCCAAGUGGCUAAUAACAAAAUAGGGGAAAAGAGAGUACACACGUUAGUGAACAUUUUAAACAGAUUCAUUUUAGUUUUUCUAACAGAUUUAUGUUUAGAAAUUGAUCACUAAUAGAAUUAGUACCUGAGUUCCAUCCCACAGCUUCUCAAGGUCACUAUUCUCCAUUCUGAGUUUAACCAGAUACUCAACCUUAAAAUUAGAAUGCAAACGCUUCAAUGGACAAUUAUUCCACAAUAGCAAUCUGAGUUUACUAGGGAAAUAAACGAUGCCCUGAGUGCCUUCCAUACGUGAGCAAUCAACUGAUAGAUAUUCGAGAUUACACAUGCCUUCUAAUGAUUUUAAAUCUAUUAAUAGCACCCCCGAACAAUAUAACGUCCUCAGUUUAAUGGCAUUCUGAAUCGAGGAAGGAAGUGUCACCAAAGAUUCGCAUUCAGAAAGAUUUAAUUCCUCGAGGUUUAUGGCUAAAGAAAGAUCUGGAAUUUCUUUAAAAUAUUUGGAAUACCACAAAUUCAUCUUCUUGAGACUUCCAAGGGGCUGAAAACAACAUAUGGAAAAAGAGAAUACACACGUUCACAAUUUUUUUAAAACAGAUUCAUUUGAAGCUUUUCUAACAUAUAUAUGUUCAUAAAUAUACCACAGUUCUAUUCUAAAAACUGACAACUAAUAAAAUUUAUAAUUCGUACCAG
RNAcentral lists this long non-coding RNA (19289 nucleotides) under Arabidopsis thaliana (thale cress). RNAcentral describes it as "long non-coding RNA (ATHA_LNC000266)". The record is from RNAcentral. Lineage: Eukaryota; Viridiplantae; Streptophyta; Magnoliopsida; Brassicales; Brassicaceae.